Non-coding RNA from Castor canadensis (American beaver), 158 nucleotides. The record is from RefSeq and is a predicted model, not a curated record. Lineage: Eukaryota; Metazoa; Chordata; Mammalia; Rodentia; Castoridae.
CACUUCCGUUCCGGUUGCCGGCAGCUUGUGAGGAGUGUCUGUUGGGCGUCCUGUGGUGUGUGGGCCAUGGAGAGCUCGGGGCCCAGUGAAGUGACGGGCGCAGACGCGUCGGGACCGGACCCGCAGCUGGCGGUCACCAUGGGCUUUACGGGGUUCGG